CAGUCGCCGCGGUAACACGUAGGGUGCAAGCGUUAAUCGGAAUUACUGGGCGUAAAGCGUGCGCAGGCGGUUAUAUAAGACAGAUGUGAAAUCCCCGGGCUCAACCUGGGAACUGCAUUUGUGACUGUAUAGCUAGAGUACGGCAGAGGGGGAUGGAAUUCCGCGUGUAGCAGUGAAAUGCGUAGAUAUGCGGAGGAACACCGAUGGCGAAGGCAAUCCCCUGGGCCUGUACUGACGCUCAUGCACGAAAGCGUGGGGAGCAAACAGGAUUAGAUACCCGUGUAGUCCCUGUCUCUUAUAC
RNAcentral lists this ribosomal RNA (301 nucleotides) under uncultured bacterium. Its description in RNAcentral is "partial 16S ribosomal RNA". It matches the Rfam family "Bacterial small subunit ribosomal RNA", at positions 509 to 807 of the family's 1533-position model. The record is from RNAcentral.